GGGGAAAGCUUGAGAUAGGUCAGACUUUCCUUUGGGGGGACUCUUCAGGACUGGUCUCUCCCUCUGGAUGCAUCUUGUGUUCCCCACAGGCAGAUGGGCUGUCACGGUGCCACUCGAGAGCCACACUCAGCUUCGUGCAGAACGAAAACAAAUAUUGAAUCCUGGGAAGUUGCUGCAGAAUGGAAUGGUCAUCCCCUGGAUGUCAGACAGUAUGUCAAGGAAAAUUUAAAAGGCAAUGGUUGAAAAUCCCUGAUGGAAACUCUAGCAGAGGGGGAUUUGGUGGAAAAAGGAAUGUACCUGUUGGUCAACCGGGAAAGCUGCUACCUCAUUCCCCUGGACCCCAAAAUUAGGAUUUAACUUAUACACUUUAAUAAACAUAGUUUGGGGGUAAUUACCUGUGUGUCAGCAAUAUGUUAAUUUGGGCCAUGGGCAGAGCCAUUAUGUAAUUUUUUAGAUCAUUGGCUUAUUGUGCUUAUCUUGUCUUGCUGCUAGAACCUAUCCAGGGGCUUGGGAAAACCCAUCCCCUGUCGCGUCUCUCUGCCCAAUGAGCACCCUAUAUAAUCUAUUGUAAUUCAUUGUUCUGCAAUGUCUCUGAGCCUAAUAAGCAAAGUGACAUUCCACCAGCACUGUGCAUAAUAAACUCCUGUUCUUGACUCUACAU
Non-coding RNA from Chrysemys picta bellii (western painted turtle), 661 nucleotides. NCBI's taxonomy places the organism in Eukaryota, Metazoa, Chordata, Testudines, Emydidae. The record is from RefSeq and is a predicted model, not a curated record.